GAUGAACGCUGGCGGCGUGCCUAAUACAUGCAAGUCGAGCGAACAGACGAGGAGCUUGCUCCUCUGACGUUAGCGGCGGACGGGUGAGUAACACGUGGAUAACCUACCUAUAAGACUGGGAUAACUUCGGGAAACCGGAGCUAAUACCGGAUAAUAUAUUGAACCGCAUGGUUCAAUAGUGAAAGACGGUUUUGCUGUCACUUAUAGAUGGAUCCGCGCCGCAUUAGCUAGUUGGUAAGGUAACGGCUUACCAAGGCAACGAUGCGUAGCCGACCUGAGAGGGUGAUCGGCCACACUGGAACUGGGACACGGACCAGACUCCUACGGGAGGCAGCAGUAGGGAAUCUUCCGCAAUGGUCGAAAGCCUUACGGAGCAACGCCGCGUGAGUGAUGAAGGUCUUCGGAUCGUAAAACUCUGUUAUUAGUGAAGAACAAAUUUGUAAGUAACUAUGCACGUCUUGACGGUACCUAAUCAGAAAGCCACGGCUAACUACGUG
RNAcentral lists this ribosomal RNA (497 nucleotides) under uncultured bacterium. Its description in RNAcentral is "partial 16S ribosomal RNA". It matches the Rfam family "Bacterial small subunit ribosomal RNA", at positions 28 to 507 of the family's 1533-position model. The record is from RNAcentral.